This is a non-coding RNA of Gasterosteus aculeatus aculeatus (three-spined stickleback), 1025 nucleotides long. NCBI's taxonomy places the organism in Eukaryota, Metazoa, Chordata, Actinopteri, Perciformes, Gasterosteidae. The record is from RefSeq and is a predicted model, not a curated record.
GUUGAGAAGAGGCGUGUUGUUAAAAUGUUGAAGUGGUUUUAUAUUAGAGUGACAUUAAUGAACGUGCACUAACCCACUAAUCGCUGCACGACGCUGGCAGGUGACUCGUCUCCAGUACCUGAACGCUCUCAUGGCGUCGCGGGUCGGUCACAGUCCAGAUCCUCCAGAGAUUAAGAUCCUGCCCAACAGUCAGACCAAGCUGCUCAACGACAGAAACUCACAGCCAGAGUUCCCCGUCAACUUUUCCUUCUUUGAUACCAUCGAGAAUUACUGUUAGUAUUUAUUCAUUUAAUGUUUGUUUGUCUGCAUGAGGUGAAAUGCAGCCGUCUGAGGCGUGACAGCAGACACACACACACACACACACACACACUCCGCUGUCCCCCUGUGUGCGUUCCUGUGUGUUCAUGUGUGUUUGGUGACGUUUUAUUUCCUCUUUCCCUGCAAUCAUCUCCCUUCUCUCCAUCAGUUAAAGGUCGUGUCUGAUCUGAUCCACAUGUUUAUAUCCAUGACCUUAAAGGCUGAGACGUGUCCCUCUGGCGUCCACACUGGAGGCUCAUGGGCACGAAGGCAGAGACGCGGCCCGAACCUGAGCUGCUAACGGUUCAAUCGGCUUGUUUUCAAUAGACACAAUUUGCUGAAAUGCAAAUAUAUAAUAUAUAUAUGUAUUUAUAUUUGAAUCACUAAACAAUAGUUUACGUCCAGUAAAGUGUAGUUCCAAAGCGUAAAGCACCAGACCUCCAAAUGAAGUCAUAAUAGUUGGUUUUAGCUUCUUUUCAUGUAUCACCAAGUAUAUUUGCAGAAAGUCAUACAGAAAAAACCUAUUUUCAUUCAAGCAUUAACCUAAUAUAUAUUUCUGAAUUCGCACCUCUUUAUGUUGUAAAAGCUUGAAGUCUUUGCUUUAAUUUAGUGGUCCGAUGUUUCGCUGAGUGCAACUCAAUGAAAAUUAGAGAAUUUCUGAAAUCUUUAUUUAAUAUAAAAACAGGUUUACGUUUCAGUCUUUAUCAAAUAAAGCGAUCCUACAGAAA